UUUCACUGUGGGCCUUGUUUCUUGAUUGCAUCCAAAAGCCCAAACACAGUAAAAAACUUCAAACUUCGAAGUCGCUUGAUACACAUCGAUCGAUUGAUUCUCCAUGGCUUAGCGAUAUCCGACUCUGACCCCAAGAAAAGAUUGCAACAUCGGGAAUUUUCUUCAUGAACUCGUUAAGAGUGUGCUUUUUGAGUGUUGAGAAUCGGUUGCUUGCGGCUUUAGGGUAAAUCUGAAUGCUGAGGUUUCAAUUGCUUUGUUCUUGUGUGGUUGUUGUGGGGGAAGCAAAGUAGACAUGAACGGCGUUCAAUGCUUUCAAAUCACGCGUUUCAAUCGCUUGGUGCCCUAACUUGUAUGUACCAGGAACUCUGAGACUCCAUAUGCGUACUUUGGAGGCAUUGCGUCAUCGUGCAACAGAACUGUAAUGCGAUGGAACACUCCUACAGUCAGGGGAAUGCUUCGACAGGUAAAGAGAUUGGUGGUGAUUGAAACAGGAGAGAUGUAUAAGGCACGCAAACAAGUGAAGGCAAACCAUGGAGUUCCUCACACCCCCUUGCUUAUAAACCAUUUGCCUGGACCUGCAAGUGGUUCUUCUUAACUGUCUAUUUAUCACGAGGUCAGUAUUUUAUUAUUUAGAAUGGUUGAAGGGAUUUGUUUGAUGCUCUUUGUUAUAUUGUUAUAAAUUUAGUGUUACUGUUUUGUUUGCUUUGCAUAAUGUUUCAAACUUUCAAUGGGAUCAGCUGUUUGCAUAAGUGGAUGAUUUGGUCUCAAGUCUAAUGUGCCAGACAGGUUCUUCACAAUUAUUAGUAUUACUUUUCAAUGCUGGUGCAAUUUGAUGUUAUAGUCUUAUAGAUAUGUUGCAGCUGAUAAUAUGUAGAAACUUGAGAAAGUGAUGGAAAGAAAAGGAAAUUUGGAGUCUGUUAAUCUGAAAUUGAUUGGCACUUCCUCUGAUAAGAGCAAAGAAUUAAAUGAUCAAAGAUGAUAUUAAAAUUUAGUAA
Molecule: long non-coding RNA, 995 nt
Organism: Tripterygium wilfordii
Lineage: Eukaryota; Viridiplantae; Streptophyta; Magnoliopsida; Celastrales; Celastraceae
Exons: 3
Source: RefSeq, a predicted model, not a curated record